Non-coding RNA from Triticum aestivum (bread wheat), 135 nucleotides. The record is from Rfam. NCBI's taxonomy places the organism in Eukaryota, Viridiplantae, Streptophyta, Magnoliopsida, Poales, Poaceae.
AAAGUACUCCCUCCGUCCCAAAAUUCUUGUCUUAGAUUUUUCUAGAUACGGAUGUAUCAAGUCACAUUUUAGUAUUAGAUACAUCUGUAUCUAGACAAAUCUAAGACAAGAAAUUUGGGACAGAGGGAGUAGUUG